Molecule: non-coding RNA, 304 nt
Organism: Prunus mume (Japanese apricot)
Lineage: Eukaryota; Viridiplantae; Streptophyta; Magnoliopsida; Rosales; Rosaceae
Source: RefSeq, a predicted model, not a curated record
AGGUUUUGAUUCCAAUACCAGGAGGAUUAAUUGAGCUGCUUGUUACCAAACAAGUAUUUGAAGAUCAGCAUGUUAUUGAUUUUAUCACAGCCCAAUACAGCAUCUCAAUGGAGCAGGACACCCUCGAUAACAUAACCGAUAAACAAAUGGACCCAUUUAUUUGCACAGCAGAAAACGGGUUUCAAGAGAUGGAGGCAAUGCAGAGGUCCAUGAUGGCUGAUGAGACACAACAACACAUGCAUAUGCAAUACAUGGAGGCAUUAGCACCAGACAUGGAUCAGCAGGACGGCAAUGAUAAGCAGGA